Long non-coding RNA from Panthera uncia (snow leopard), 517 nucleotides. RefSeq lists it as uncharacterized. The record is from RefSeq and is a predicted model, not a curated record. Lineage: Eukaryota; Metazoa; Chordata; Mammalia; Carnivora; Felidae. The transcript has 3 exons.
UAGCUAGUGGUGGAGCUGGAUUUAAAUCACAUGUAGACUGCAAAGCCCCUGCUCCUGUCUGCCGAGCACGCUGCCUCUGAUGGAAGGAUUUCAAUAUGUGCAGAGAAGGGCAAAGGCACUCUCGAUGAGGGGAGCCCGGUCAUCAAAGGAGUGGGAGUGGUAAUGUUUAAAUGGAAAAGGACUGGCUGGUGGCUGCUUGGUGUAACAAUUGACACAAUGCCAGAAAUAGAGCAGGUGAGCAACAGUGAAAAAACAUGAAAAAGCACUGGCCCUGGACUCAGGAAAUUGGCUGAGACUUUCAUUUCUGCUGCUUGUCAAUUGGAUAAAUGUAAUUUCUUUGAGACUCCAUUUUCUCCCAUUUGGAAUGGUGAUAAUGAUACCUAUUCUGCCCACUUUAUACAUUGGCUGUGAGGAUGGAAGUUUAUCCCUGAAAGGCCAUGUUUUGUCAUCAGAGGCCAUGCAGGGGCAUACAAAUAGAGCAUGGGAGCAUUGAAGAAACCUGAAUAAUAAAGUUGGA